This is a long non-coding RNA of Antechinus flavipes (yellow-footed antechinus), 982 nucleotides long. RefSeq lists it as uncharacterized. Lineage: Eukaryota; Metazoa; Chordata; Mammalia; Dasyuromorphia; Dasyuridae. The record is from RefSeq and is a predicted model, not a curated record. The transcript is spliced from 4 exons.
AAUAAACCCCUUUUUGCUUUUUCUUACUCUGAGAGUCUCUGAUUGUUUUUAUGGUCAAUUCUGUCCAACACAAUUGUGCAGUGUUCCCGCCUUAGGAUAGUCCUACAAAUAUUGCUAUCAGAUAGAUAAUCUACUGUUGGAAACAAUGUGAACUAGCAGCAAAAAAAUUUCCCAGGACAUUUAGCAGAUUUCAAGCUGAUGUUUACCACAUCCUCUGCAAAAUCUUUGUGAUAAAAGGUGUUUAUCCUCCACAGAAUGUGAUAGCAUAUUGCUGGUUUAGAGAUUGGUUGCUCUGCCCCGCCCUGUCUAUUGUGACAAACUACUUCUGAUUGUUUAUUGGUUACAACGAAUCCCUAAAUAUAACUUAGUUUAUCACUUAGUGGUUAUUAUCCUCCUAUUUUGGCCAGCAAGCCGAUUCUGAAACUCUGGACUAAAGUGAAUUCCCCCAAAAUACAGUCAAUAAAUAUUUACCAGCCCAUCACUGGAACAGGACCAACAGUGGAGAAGUAUCUCCCUUAAGAAAGAAACAGAAGAGGUGGAAAAGUGAGGAGAAUUAAGAGCAAAAUUUAGAGCUGUUGCUAGUCUAAGCACUUCCUCAAAUGGAAAUUUUUAGCCAGAACUCAGCAAUUGGAGAAAGAGUCCAGCUGAAGGAGUGGAGGUAUCUCCUGGGUGAGAAGGAAGCUAAAAAGGAGGUGGAAAAGUCCAGAGAAUCAAUAGCAGAGUCAAGAGAAAAGACUGAAGAUUUAUUUUUCAAGCUGAGGAAUCUUAAUGAAAUGAUGAUGCUACAAAUGAAAAUAGUUGGAGAUGAACUCCAACAAUGGACUGAGAAAAAUAACAACUUUAUCAAAAAAAAAUCUAUUCAGCAGAAUAUACAAUGCAGGGUUUAUUAAGAGAAAUGACCAAAAUAGACUACCUUAUAGAAAAAUCAGACAAUGAGGAUGGAAGUCUGUCUGGAAAUGAACAUCAAAAACUGGGGGCCAAA